This is a long non-coding RNA of Magnolia sinica, 708 nucleotides long. RefSeq lists it as uncharacterized. The record is from RefSeq and is a predicted model, not a curated record. Lineage: Eukaryota; Viridiplantae; Streptophyta; Magnoliopsida; Magnoliales; Magnoliaceae. The transcript is spliced from 3 exons.
CUAAAUCGUAAGAGAAUGGAUGAAAUUUGGUUUUUAUAAGGAACCUACUUAGGACUUUGAAUUUCCUCUUUUAGAAACCCUCCUUAGGGAUUUGGAUGAAAUGUUUAUCUCACUGCUUUUCCUCCAAAGCAGAAAUUUGCCUCUUGCUAACAUGGUUUCUUGUGUUGGAAUGCUAUGGCAUUAGUGGAUCAACUAUUUCUUUGAUGUAGGGUGGUGUGGGAGAUUUGGUCUUCUUUCUUUCACUUAAUUUGGCAUUUUGUGGUUACUCUUCUUCAGUGGCCUUCCAAUUCCUCAUGAAGAGUUGCUCCUCCACUCCUUCAAAUCAAAGAGAAAAAGGCCUUUGGAAAAUGCUCACCAAGGUUUUGUGUAUCAGCAUUGGCUUCCCUGGCCAAUAAGAUACGGUCCAUUGAUGUGAUGCAUCCCGUAAAGGCCAAAUUUUUUUGGACAAAAAUUUACAAAACAAUAUUGGUUUUUUUCUUUUAAACAUUGGGAGUAUUCCAAAAUUUCUUUCUUUCUUUUUUCUUUUUUUCCUUUGGACAUGUAUUUGAUGUUGUAACAUGCCAUUAUUUAAUAUGAAUGUUCACACAAAUUCAGGCUAGAGGGGUGCCAAUUGGGGAGAAACGGCCUCUAUGCGCACUAUAGCUUCCAACCAGUUAUCCAUUUUACAGGUACAAUAUACGCGUUGGAAAGCUAUCGACAAGCUCUACG